CACCAGACUCCUACGGGAGGCAGCAGUGGGGGAUAUUGCACAAUGGGGGAAACCCUGAUGCAGCGACGCCGCGUGAGUGAAGAAGUAUUUCGGUAUGUAAAGCUCUAUCAGCAGGGACGAAAAUGACGGUACCUGAGUAAGAAGCCCCGGCUAACUACGUGCCAGCGGCCGCGGUAAUACGUAGGGGGCAAGCGUUAUCCGGAAUUACUGGGUGUAAAGGGAGCGUAGACGGUGAAGUAAGUCUGGGGUGAAAGGCGGGGGCCCAACCCCCGGACUGCUCUGGAAACUAUUUGACUGGAGUGCAGGAGAGGUAAGCGGAAUUCCUAGUGUAGCGGUGAAAUGCGUAGAUAUUAGGAGGAACACCAGUGGCGAAGGCGGCUUACUGGACUGUAACUGACGUUGAGGCUCGAAAGCGUGGGGAGCAAACAGGAUUAGAUACCCGCGUACG
This 448-nucleotide ribosomal RNA is filed under the name uncultured bacterium. RNAcentral describes it as "bacterial SSU rRNA". It matches the Rfam family "Bacterial small subunit ribosomal RNA", at positions 329 to 793 of the family's 1533-position model. The record is from RNAcentral.